Molecule: ribosomal RNA, 790 nt
Filed under: uncultured Sphingobacteriales bacterium
Lineage: Bacteria; Pseudomonadati; Bacteroidota; Sphingobacteriia; Sphingobacteriales
Description: bacterial SSU rRNA
Rfam family: Bacterial small subunit ribosomal RNA
Source: RNAcentral
AGAGUUUGAUCAUGGCUCAGGAUGAACGCUAGCGGCAGGCCUAAUACAUGCAAGUCGAACGGUAACAUGGCAGCAAUGCUGAUGACGAGUGGCGCACGGGUGCGUAACACGUAUGCAACCUACCCUUUACUAAGGUAUAGCCCGGAGAAAUUCGGAUUAAUCCCUUAUGACACUGCGAUGUGGCAUCACAUUGCAUUUAAAUAUUUAUAGGUAAAGGAUGGGCAUGCGUCCAAUUAGUUAGUUGGUGAGGUAACGGCUCACCAAGACUAUGAUUGGUAGGGGUUCUGAGAGGAAGGUCCCACACACUGGUACUGAGAUACGGACCAGACUCCUACGGGAGGCAGCAGUAGGGAAUAUUGGGCAAUGGACGAAAGUCUGACCCAGCCAUGCCGCGUGCAGGAUGAAGGCUUUCUGAGUUGUAAACUGCUUUUGAUCGGGAACAAAAGGCCCAUGCGUGGGAAAUUGAGUGUACCGAUAGAAUAAGCACCGGCUAACUCCGUGCCAGCAGCCGCGGUAAUACGGAGGGUGCAAGCGUUGUCCGGAUUUAUUGGGUUUAAAGGGUGCGUAGGCGGCCUUAUAAGUCAGUGGUGAAAUACUUCGGCUCAACCGAAGAGGUGCCAUUGAUACUGUAGGGCUUGAGUACAGACGAGGUAGGCGGAAUUUAUGGUGUAGCGGUGAAAUGCAUAGAUACCAUAAAGAACACCGAUUGCGAAGGCAGCUUACUUGGCUGUAACUGACGCUGAGGCACGAAAGCGUGGGGAUCGAACAGGAUUAGAUACCCUGGUAGUCC